AUGAACGCUAGCGACAGGCCUACACAUGCAAGUCAGGGGCAGCACAAGGAGCAAUCUGAGGUGGCGACCGGCGCACGGGUGAGUAACACGUAUGCAACCUGCCUGUAAGCGGGGAAUAACCCGUUGAAAGACGGACUAAUACCGCAUAAUACUAAAUUACUGCAUGGUAAUUUAUUUAAACAUUUAUGGCUUACAGAUGGGCAUGCGCAUGAUUAGCUAGUUGGAGAGGUAACGGCUCCCCAAGGCAACGAUCAUUAGGGGUUCUGAGAGGAAGGUCCCCCACACUGGUACUGAGACACGGACCAGACUCCUACGGGAGGCAGCAGUGAGGAAUAUUGGUCAAUGGACGAGAGUCUGAACCAGCCAAGUCGCGUGCAGGAAGAAUGUUCCCUAUGGAUUGUAAACUGCUUUUGCAGGGGAAUAAAGUGCAUCACGUGUGAUGUUUUGUAUGUACUCUGCGAAUAAGGAUCGGCUAACUCCGUGCCAGCCGCCGC
This 494-nucleotide ribosomal RNA is filed under the name uncultured bacterium. RNAcentral's name for it is "bacterial SSU rRNA". It matches the Rfam family "Bacterial small subunit ribosomal RNA", at positions 29 to 518 of the family's 1533-position model. The record is from RNAcentral.